GAAAAAUAUUUUUAAAAUCAGAGAAGCCUUCAUUUUCUCUCUCCCCUCUUCCUCUUCCUCUUCAGCUUCGUUUUCUCUCUCCUCUGUCGUCGCCGUCGCUUCUUCACCGCCGGAGAUUGAUCUCCCCCACCGCCGUUGAUCUCUACCCUCUUCCAGAUCGGACUAAUUCAGGUAGUUUGGAUCACUGGAGCCAGCCGCAGAAUCGAUGAUCUUAUCGUUUUUACUCCCAUUUGCUCUCGUUCCACUUCCCAAAUUUACCAGCAGUAAGGCUAAGAUGGGUGUUCAUGCUAACUCAUUCAUGGCACCUGGAUGAUUGGCUCCUUGAUCAUGGUCAUUAACAUUUACUUCAUUGCAAGCAAUUUUAUCAAGGUAGAGUACCCAGCUCCUGGCAAUAACAAGGCAUGAAGAUCAACAAAUUCCUGGAGAAGACAUAGUUAACAUGCAACUGCCUCAAAGAAGGACAAAUGCAGGCGAUAUUGAGUGUAUUCAACAAUCCGAGGAAGAAGCCUUUUACCAUUGAGUAGAUAAAUGAAGUUCGAGAAAAGUUGGCAAAGUUCAUUACCAUUUAUUGUCUUUGAUAUUUUCUUGUAGUGAAUCUUAGAUUAUGGAUGCUAGUUUUUCAUAGGAUUGUAAUGCAAUCAAUUUUUAUAUUUAUAAUUAUAUAAUUUAAUUUAA
Molecule: long non-coding RNA, 675 nt
Organism: Spinacia oleracea (spinach)
Lineage: Eukaryota; Viridiplantae; Streptophyta; Magnoliopsida; Caryophyllales; Amaranthaceae
Exons: 6
Source: RefSeq, a predicted model, not a curated record